GCCCUUGGUUGAUCCUGCCGGACCCCACUGCUAUCGGGAUAGGACUAAGACAUGCUAGUCGUGUGCCUCAGCCAAAACGAGGCACGGCGCACAGCUCAGUAACACGUGGCUAACCUGCCCUUAGGACGAGAAUAACCCCGGGAAACUGGGGCUAAUGCUCGAUAGGUGAAGAACUCUGGAAUGAGUCUUCACUUAAAAGAGUCUGCGUUAUGCUCGUAGAUUUCGCUUAAGGAUGGGGCCGCGACCGAUCAGGUUGUUGGUGAGGUAAUGGCUCACCAAGCCUUUUACCGGUGCGGGCCGUGAGAGCGGGAGCCCGGAGAUGGGCACUGAGACAAGGGCCCAGGCCCUACGGGGCGCAGCAGUCGCGAAAACUUUGCAAUACACGAAAGUGUGACAGGGCUAUCCCGAGUGCCAUCCACUGAGGAAGGCUUUUACCCAGUCUAGAACGCUGGGGGAAUAAGGAGAGGGCAAGUCUGGUGUCAGCCGCCGCGGUAAUACCAGCCCUCCGAGUGGUGUGGAUGUUUAUUGGGCCUAAAGCAUCCGUAGCUGGCUAAGUUAGUCCCCUGUUAAAUCCAACGAAUUAAUCGUUGGAUCGCGGGGGGAUACUGCUUGGCUAGGGGACGAGAGAGGCAGACGGUAUUUCCGGGGUAGGGGUGAAAUCCUAUAAUCCCGGGAAACCACCAGUGGCGAAGGCUGUC
RNAcentral lists this ribosomal RNA (698 nucleotides) under uncultured archaeon. RNAcentral describes it as "bacterial SSU rRNA". It matches the Rfam family "Archaeal small subunit ribosomal RNA", at positions 1 to 677 of the family's 1478-position model. The record is from RNAcentral.